UACGAACCGAGCGAACGUUGUUCGGAAUCACUGGGCUUAAAGGGCGCGUAGGCGGGCUGCCGCGUCCGGGGUGAAAUCCCACGGCUCAACCGUGGAACGGCCCCGGGUACGGGCGGCCUCGAGGGGGGUAGGGGCGUGCGGAACUGUGGGUGGAGCGGUGAAAUGCGUUGAUAUCCACAGGAACUCCGGUGGCGAAGGCGGCACGCUGGACCCCCACUGACGCUGAGGCGCGAAAGCCAGGGGAGCGAACGGG
RNAcentral lists this ribosomal RNA (253 nucleotides) under uncultured bacterium. Its description in RNAcentral is "partial 16S ribosomal RNA". It matches the Rfam family "Bacterial small subunit ribosomal RNA", at positions 524 to 776 of the family's 1533-position model. The record is from RNAcentral.